This 468-nucleotide ribosomal RNA is filed under the name uncultured bacterium. Its description in RNAcentral is "partial 16S ribosomal RNA". It matches the Rfam family "Bacterial small subunit ribosomal RNA", at positions 28 to 507 of the family's 1533-position model. The record is from RNAcentral.
GACGAACGCUGGCGGCGUGCUUAACACAUGCAAGUCGAACGGAAAGGCCCUGCUUUUGUGGGGUGCUCGAGUGGCGAACGGGUGAGUAACACGUGAGUAACCUGCCCUUGACUUUGGGAUAACUUCAGGAAACUGGGGCUAAUACCGGAUAGGAGCUCCUGCUGCAUGGUGGGGGUUGGAAAGUUUCGGCGGUUGGGGAUGGACUCGCGGCUUAUCAGCUUGUUGGUGGGGUAGUGGCUUACCAAGGCUUUGACGGGUAGCCGGCCUGAGAGGGUGACCGGCCACAUUGGGACUGAGCUACGGCCCAGACUCCUACGGGAGGCAGCAGUGGGGAAUAUUGCACAAUGGACGGAAGCCUGAUGCAGCAACGCCGCGUGCGGGAUGACGGCCUUCGGGUUGUAAACCGCUUUCGCCUGUGACGAAGCGUGAGUGACGGUAAUGGGUAAAGAAGCACCGGCUAACUACGUG